RNA transcript from Manis javanica (Malayan pangolin), 3294 nucleotides. It is a transcript of the gene named pleckstrin homology and RhoGEF domain containing G6, with no coding region annotated. NCBI's taxonomy places the organism in Eukaryota, Metazoa, Chordata, Mammalia, Pholidota, Manidae. The record is from RefSeq and is a predicted model, not a curated record.
UCGGACAAAAUAAAGUGGUCAGAGUCAGUGUGAGCUCUAACACCUCAGACCAUUUCUGUGUUUAAUAUGCCAGACAGGAGCGGAGAAUGGAGAGCAUCUUCCCUGGUGAUACAAUGAGAUUAUGCUUUUGAAAGUGUGUCAUCAGAGUGCUCUACAAAAGUAAGAGGUUUUAUCCAGCUGCGUAGCUGAUUUGCCUGGAGGAAGACCGCGGGGCCUGGUGGAGGCUGGGGAGGUACUCAGACCUGCUCCACCCCAUUACAGGGUCUUUGGCUUCAUGAUUGUUGAUUGUAAUGGUCACACAUAUCCCUGGAUGCUACCGAGUCCCCAUACCCAGUGCUUCUGCCAGAUGAUGUGCCCCGAUUUGGGGAUGGGAAAUGUGGUCUUUUCCUGCAAUGCCCUGCAAGAGCCCACCCUUGAACAGUGUCUGUUUAGCAGCCACCGGAGGUGCUGGGAUGGCCCUUGUGAAGCCUGGCAGGUGCCUGCUUGCCAGUGAAGCCUCAGUCGGUGCCCCCCAUAUGAUCCUCCUAACCCCAUCCACACUCCACACCCAUCUUAGGUAGUGGGAGAAGUGUUGGGUCAGGUCUCAGCCUGGCACCAGAUGCCAUCCCCGGAGCAAAGGCAAAGUCCAGAGGCAGCUUUCCACACGAUGGCCAGGUCAGGCAAGUGAGAGAUAAGGGCCACACUUUGGACUCCACAGCCAGAGAGCCGAGGGUAGGGGGUGGGGUGCGGCAGGGGUCCCUGGCUCCUACACCCUUCUGCCGGCAGGCAGUCCCCUCCCCUGCCUGGUUAAAGGAGGAAGACAGGCAGGGGUAGGACGGAAUAGCGGCAAUCGCUGCAUCCAGAAAGAGAGGUGGGCCCCUGCCACCGACCACUCGGUCAUCACCUUGGCAGCCUCGGCGGCGGCGCCGGACCUCACGGGGGUCUGGGCGGGACAGAGGGCGGAGCGCGGUCCCAUCCCUUCCGUCAGGCAGGUGGGUGGUGAGUUCAAGUGCGAACGCGAAAGGGGAAGGGGCUCUGCGAAGGUAGUUCUCCUAGCGCGGGGCGGCAGGACCCUGGCCCCCAGGGCCCCACGGGCGCCCGCGCUGCGCGGCCAGCCCGAGGCCCGCGGCGAGAGGCGGUGCCAGGCGCGUCCCCGCCCUCCUGCCCGCCCCGCCCGAACCGACCCGGCCAGUCCCUGCGCUGCCGGAGCCCCGCGGGGCGCUCCGUCCCAGACCCAGGCUAGGCAGCGGGGCUGGCAUCGCUGGGGAAGCCGUGGGCGACCGGGAGCCCUGCGGGCCGGGGCGGACAGCGCGGGCAUCGGGCACAGGGACACCUGCGGGCACAGCCUCAGAGGACCCCCCUCUCCUGGACAUGGAGCUAUGACUCUUUGGAGGUGAUCCAUGAGAGAAGAGAUGCAGGACUUUGGUCCUCCCGAUGGGGGUCCCCUCCAAGGACUUGUAGCUUCCCGCAUUGAGACUUACGGGGGCCGGUCUCAAGCCUCCCCCCAGAGCACUGCUGGCAGUCUCUACCCCCAAGGAGGCCCCCUGCUGGAACCCAGUCGCCGCCGCCUACAGAACAAUGUCCCAUUUGCCAAGGGUUCUGGCCAGGCCCGAGGCCUGCCUCCCAUCAGAUUGCGAGAACUAGAGCCUGAGAAGAGACAUGGGGGCCAUUAUGGGGCUGUCCCACCUCACUCUCCCAAAUUCAAGGACGUCAGCAAGGCCCGAGCGCUGGAGGUGCGGCUGCAUACAUUCAGCAUGUUCGGGAUGCCUCGCCUGCCCCCUGAGGACCGCUGCCACUGGGAAAUAGGAGAGGGCGGCGACAGGGGCAUGGUCAUCGAGAAGUCCUGGAAGGAGCUUGUACCUGGGCACAAGGAGAUGAGCCAGGAGCUCUGCCACCAACAGGAAGCACUGUGGGAGCUACUGACCACAGAGCUGAACUACGUGCAAAAGCUCAAGAUCAUGACCAGCCUCCUAGCUGCCGGUUUGCUGAACUUGCAGCGUGUGGGGCUGCUGACUGAAAUAUCAGCUGAGACCCUGUUUGGAAAUAUCCCCAGCCUGAUUCGGGUGCACCGGAGCUUCUGGGAGGAGGUGCUGGGGCCCACCCUGGAGAAGACCCGUGCCUCAGGCCAGCCUCUGGACCCUGUCAGCCUGAAGAACGGCUUCUUGACGUUCAGCGAGCGGUUCCAGCCCUAUGUCCAGUACUGCCUGCAAGUGAAGCAGACCAUGGCUUACGCCCGGGAACAGCAAGACACCAACCCUCUCUUCCAGGCCUUCGUGCAGUGGUGUGAGAAGCACAAGCCUUCAGGGAGGCAGCAUCUGGGGGACUUGCUCAUCAAGCCCCACCAGCGCAUCACCAAGUACCCACUGCUGCUCCAGGCUGUGCUCAAGAGGAGCCCAGAGGCACAAGCCCAAGAGGCUCUGAACGCCAUGAUUGCAGCUGUGGAGUCAUUCCUGCGGUACCUCAAUAAACAGGUCCGCCAGGAUGAAGAGCAGGAGAGCUUGGUUGCUGCCGCCCAACGCAUUGGGCCCUAUGAGGUGCUGGAGUCAUCCAGUGAUGAGGUGGAGAAGAAUCUGCGUCCAUUCUGCACCCUAGACCUGAUGUCCCCCAUGCUGGGCAUCGCUCCUGAGCACACCAGGCAGCUGCUGCAGGAGGGUCCUGCGCGCAUGAAGGAGGGGCGAGAAGGGAAGCUCGAUGUGUACCUGUUCCUCUUCUCUGACAUGCUCCUGGUGACCAAGCCCCAGCGCAAAGCAGACAAAGCCAAGGUUAUCCGCCCCCCACUCUCGCUGGAGAAGCUUGUGUGCCGACCACUCCGAGACCCUCACAGCUUCCUGAUAAUCCACCUCACUGAAUUCCAGUGUGUUUCCAGUGCCCUCACUGUGCACUGCCCCAGUGCUGCAGACCGUGCCCAGUGGCUGGAGAAGACCCAGCAGGCCCAGUAUCACCGCAGCUCACCCUGCAGAAGCUGAAGACAGAGGAGUAUGUCCAACAGAAGAGGGAGCUCCUGGCUCUCUAUCGCGACCAGGACCACACGUCCCCAGGCACCAGGCCCUCCACACCUUCCCAAGAGGGUUCUCAGAGCAGCGCAGAGGGGAGGACUCCUGAGAUCUUGACCAUCAUCCCCCACCUCGUGGUGACAGAAGACACAGAUGAAGACACUCCCUCAGUGCCAGACAACACCUCCGACUCUGGCUACAGCACUCUGCUCCCAGGCUCCCACUCUCCGCUGCCCCAUCUAUUCUCACGGGCUCUUCGGCGGGAUCCUCGCCUCACCUUCUCCACCCUGGACGUCCGAGGUGUUCCUUUGCGCCCCCAGCC